Mesocricetus auratus (golden hamster) is the source of this 1113-nucleotide long non-coding RNA. RefSeq lists it as uncharacterized. The record is from RefSeq and is a predicted model, not a curated record. The transcript has 2 exons. NCBI's taxonomy places the organism in Eukaryota, Metazoa, Chordata, Mammalia, Rodentia, Cricetidae.
GACCCUUUAGCCUUGCCAACACCUGUUACCUGCUUACCUUCAGUGACCUGGUUGCUAGGCAGCGACCCCUCCCUCAUUGUCCUGUAUCCCUCUCUCCCAUCCCCCUACCUCAUUUCCCCUAUUGAAGCCAGCACAGAAUUCUCCUUAAAUGCAGCUUGAUCAGCCUUGUCUUACCGUCAACUUCUCUUGUCUCUUGUCCCGUCUUUCCAGGUUCCCGUGGGCUCGACCUUCGUUGUGCCCUGCUGGACCAAGGCAAACUGGUGCCCAAUGAUCCGGCUCAAAGACUCUACGGACCCCAGGAAUGCCGCUGCACCCAGAGGGGCAGGCCUGCCCACGUUCUCCACGCCUGAGGGGGGAAGGACCGGCUCUGAAGAGGUUGCCACAGCUCCACACGCUGUGAGACAGACUGCAGAGAUCUCCAUGGCUUUGCCAGGCCAGUGAGUCAGAUCUGGGGGAAUAACACAGCACCGCGGUGCAAGGGUGAAGAAACUCUGAAGAACGCCCCCGCCAGCAAACUUCUCCUCAGAAACAAACGACACCCCCUGCCCGCUGGAACCACUCAUCCACAACGGUUUUGCCAUGAUUGGCUCAGGGCAAUCAGGACCUCAUGUAAGAGAAAGUGUACAAAGGAGUCAGAAUGGAAGAAUGGGAAGCAAUCAGCAGGGGCUACCGCGACUCCCUCUCUAAAGCCGUGCAAUCAGAGAAAACACACAAGGGCUCUGACCCUCGCAGGGAUUUCUCCAGACACUUUUGUCUCUUAUUUCUCUCUCAGACCUGUCACUCAGUCUUAAUAAAUCCGGUAGAUCCGCCCACCGGAACCCGGUUUUUAUCUCCCCCUUUUCCCCUUUUGAUUUAUUCUAAUUAGUAGCAGAGCUGGCUCCCUGCCUGGCAUUUUCACCGCUAAAUCAAGGUUUUGAACGUAUGAAACUUUAUGGUGACAGGGGACGCUGGUAAACAAAGAUCGUUACAGACUGCAGGCCCCCAUAAGCAGGCAGUGUUAGGAUCUGCCUGCACAAGAAGUCAGCUCAGAAGUUAAAAAGACGAGAACUGGAAACUAGCAUUGUCGGGAUUGAAACUUUUUAUUACUUUAAUAAAAGGAUCUCGUGCAUUGAA